GACGAACGCUGGCGGCGUGCCUAAUACAUGCAAGUCGAACGAAACGACACUAGGUGCUUGCUCUUGGUGAAGGCGAGUGGCGAACGGGUGAGUAACACGUGGGUAACUUAUUUUUCAGUGGGGGUUAACAGUCGGAACUGACUGCUAUUACCGCUUCGGCCAUAGGGUCACAUGAUUGUGUGUGGGAAGGUGGCGCAAGCUAUCGCGCCGAGAUCGAACCGCGGUGCAUUAGCUAGUUGGUAGGGUAAAGGCCUACCAAGGCGAUGAUGCAUAGCCGACCUGAGAGGGUGAUCGGCCACAUUGGAACUGAGACACGGCCCAAACUCCUACGGGAGGCAGCAGUAGGGAAUCUUCCGCAAUGGACGCAAGUCUGACGGAGCAACGCCGCGUGAGUGAAGAAGGUCUUCGGAUCGUAAAGCUCUGUUGUUAGGGAAGAACAGCACAUAGUGUAACUGUUAUGGGUGUGACGGUAUCUAAACAGAAAGCCACGGCUAACUACGUG
Molecule: ribosomal RNA, 502 nt
Filed under: uncultured bacterium
Lineage: Bacteria
Description: partial 16S ribosomal RNA
Rfam family: Bacterial small subunit ribosomal RNA
Source: RNAcentral